RNAcentral lists this ribosomal RNA (465 nucleotides) under Vreelandella stevensii. RNAcentral's name for it is "partial 16S ribosomal RNA". It matches the Rfam family "Bacterial small subunit ribosomal RNA", at positions 338 to 795 of the family's 1533-position model. Lineage: Bacteria; Pseudomonadati; Pseudomonadota; Gammaproteobacteria; Oceanospirillales; Halomonadaceae. The record is from RNAcentral.
CCUACGGGGGGCUGCAGUGGGGAAUAUUGGACAUUGGGGGCAACCCUGAUCCAGCCAUGCCGCGUGUGUGAAGAAGGCCCUCGGGUUGUAAAGCACUUUCAGUGAGGAAGAACGCCUGGUGGUUAAUACCCAUCAGGAAAGACAUCACUCACAGAAGAAGCACCGGCUAACUCCGUGCCAGCAGCCGCGGUAAUACGGAGGGUGCGAGCGUUAAUCGGAAUUACUGGGCGUAAAGCGCGCGUAGGUGGCUUGAUAAGCCGGUUGUGAAAGCCCCGGGCUCAACCUGGGAACGGCAUCCGGAACUGUCAAGCUAGAGUGCAGGAGAGGAAGGUAGAAUUCCCGGUGUAGCGGUGAAAUGCGUAGAGAUCGGGAGGAAUACCAGUGGCGAAGGCGGCCUUCUGGACUGACACUGACACUGAGGUGCGAAAGCGUGGGUAGCAAACAGGAUUAGAUACCCCUGUAGUC